Molecule: small nucleolar RNA, 72 nt
Filed under: Mastacembelus armatus (zig-zag eel)
Lineage: Eukaryota; Metazoa; Chordata; Actinopteri; Synbranchiformes; Mastacembelidae
Description: Small nucleolar RNA SNORD61 (ENSMAMG00000010446.2)
Rfam family: Small nucleolar RNA SNORD61
About the family: U61 belongs to the C/D class of snoRNA which contain the C (UGAUGA) and D (CUGA) box motifs.
Source: Rfam by way of RNAcentral
GCAAUGAUGACAAUUUAUGGUUUUGAUCACCAGUGAAAAAACACUUCCAAUCCUCUAAGAAGUUCUGAGCUC